RNAcentral lists this ribosomal RNA (252 nucleotides) under uncultured bacterium. RNAcentral describes it as "partial 16S ribosomal RNA". It matches the Rfam family "Bacterial small subunit ribosomal RNA", at positions 524 to 776 of the family's 1533-position model. The record is from RNAcentral.
UACGUAGGGUGCUAGCGUUGUCCGGAUUUAUUGGGCGUAAAGAGCUCGUAGGCGGUCUGUCGCGUCGGCUGUGAAAACCCGGAGCUCAACUCCGGGCCUGCAGUCGAUACGGGCAGACUGGAGUUCGGCAGGGGAGACUGGAAUUCCUGGUGUAGCGGUGAAAUGCGCAGAUAUCAGGAGGAACACCAAUGGCGAAGGCAGCUCGCUGGACGGUACUGACGCUGGGGUGCGAAAGCAUGGGGAGCGAACAGG